GAUGAACGCUGGCGGCGUGCCUAAUACAUGCAAGUCGAGCGAACGGACGAGAAGCUUGCUUCUCUGAUGUUAGCGGCGGACGGGUGAGUAACACGUGGAUAACCUACCUAUAAGACUGGGAUAACUUCGGGAAACCGGAGCUAAUACCGGAUAAUAUUUUGAACCGCAUGAUUCAAAAGUGAAAGACGGUCUUGCUGUCACUUAUAGAUGGAUCCGCGCUGCAUUAGCUAGUUGGUAAGGUAACGGCUUACCAAGGCAACGAUGCAUAGCCGACCUGAGAGGGUGAUCGGCCACACUGGAACUGAGACACGGUCCAGACUCCUACGGGAGGCAGCAGUAGGGAAUCUUCCGCAAUGGGCGAAAGCCUGACGGAGCAACGCCGCGUGAGUGAUGAAGGUCUUCGGAUCGUAAAACUCUGUUAUUAGGGAAGAACAUAUGUGUAAGUAACUAUGCACAUCUUGACGGUACCUAAUCAGAAAGCCACGGCUAACUACGUG
Molecule: ribosomal RNA, 497 nt
Filed under: uncultured bacterium
Lineage: Bacteria
Description: partial 16S ribosomal RNA
Rfam family: Bacterial small subunit ribosomal RNA
Source: RNAcentral